AGUUUGAUCCUGGCUCAGGAUGAACGCUGGCGGUGCGCCUUAGGCAUGCAAGUCGAACGAACUCUUCGGAGUGAGUGGCAGACGGGUGAGUACAAAAUAGGAAUCUACCUUUAAGUGGGGAAUAGCUCAUCGAAAGAUGAGAUAAUACCGCAUGUGAUCGUAAGAUUAAAGCAGCAAUGCGCUUAGAGAGGAGCCUAUUUACUAUCAGCUAGUUGGUGGGGUAAUGGCCUACCAAGGCAAUGACGGUUAGCCGAUGUGAGAGCAUGAUCGGCCACAAUGUUACUGAGACACGGAACAUACACCUACGGGUGGCAGCAACCGGGAAUCUUGCGCAAUGGACGAAAGUCUGACGCAGCGACACCGCGUGGAGGAAGAAAUUUUUCGGAAUGUAAACUCCUGUGGCGAGGGAAGAAAAGGACGGUACCUCGCUAGAAAGCACCAGCUAACUACGUGCCAGAAGCUUCGGUAAUACGUAGGGUGCAAGCGUUAUCCGGAUUUACUGGGCGUAAAGCGUCUGCAGGCGUUUUGAUAAGUUAUUCGUCUAAGCCUGGAGCUCAACUCCAGAGAGGCGAGUAAAACUGUCAAAAUUGAGUUUGUUUGGGGGAACUAGAAUUCUCGGUGGAGGGGUGAAAUCCAUAGAUAUCGAGAGGAAUACCAUACGCGAAGGCAGGUUCCUGGAACACAACUGACGCUCAGAGACGAAAGCAUGGGUAGCAAACGGGAUUAGAGACCCCAGUAGUCCAUGCCGUAAAUAUUCCUUGCUAGCUGGUUUCAUUUUUUAGUGGGGCUGGCGUAAGCUAACGCGUUAAGCAAGGCGCCUGGGGAUUACGACCGCAAGGUUAAAACUCAAAGGAAUUGACGGG
Molecule: ribosomal RNA, 863 nt
Filed under: uncultured bacterium
Lineage: Bacteria
Description: bacterial SSU rRNA
Rfam family: Bacterial small subunit ribosomal RNA
Source: RNAcentral